RNAcentral lists this transfer RNA (28 nucleotides) under Tridactyle cf. tridactylites MSD-2018. RNAcentral describes it as "partial tRNA-Leu". The record is from RNAcentral. RNAcentral also lists the same sequence under 1 other name. Lineage: Eukaryota; Viridiplantae; Streptophyta; Magnoliopsida; Asparagales; Orchidaceae.
GGUUCAAGUCCCUCUAUCCCCAUCCCCA